This 497-nucleotide ribosomal RNA is filed under the name uncultured bacterium. RNAcentral describes it as "bacterial SSU rRNA". It matches the Rfam family "Bacterial small subunit ribosomal RNA", at positions 15 to 507 of the family's 1533-position model. The record is from RNAcentral.
GAUCAUGGCUCAGAUUGAACGCUGGCGGAAUGCUUUACACAUGCAAGUCGAACGGCAGCACGGACUUCGGUCUGGUGGCGAGUGGCGAACGGGUGAGUAAUAUAUCGGAACGUGCCCAGUCGUGGGGGAUAACGUAGUGAAAAUUACGCUAAUACCGCAUACGAUCUAAGGAUGAAAGCGGGGGAUCGCAAGACCUCGCGCGAUUGGAGCGGCCGAUAUCAGAUUAGGUAGUUGGUGAGGUAAAGGCUCACCAAGCCAACGAUCUGUAGCUGGUCUGAGAGGACGACCAGCCACACUGGGACUGAGACACGGCCCAGACUCCUACGGGAGGCAGCAGUGGGGAAUUUUGGACAAUGGGCGCAAGCCUGAUCCAGCAAUGCCGCGUGCAGGAAGAAGGCCUUCGGGUUGUAAACUGCUUUUGUACGGAACGAAACGGCUCUGGUUAAUACCCGGGGCUAAUGACGGUACCGUAAGAAUAAGCACCGGCUAACUACGUG